UUCCUUUUCUACUUUAAGAUCACUUUUCCACUUUUCUACGAAAUACCAUUUUUAAUUUUUUACCAAAUACACAUACAAAUUGUGUAACACGACUAUAUUUGCAUACUAUUAAUAUAAUUAUACAUUCAACACAUUAACAAAAUAUAACUGUGAUGAUAAUCAAAAUUUAUCAUGGCGUGAUAAAUUUUGAUUAUCACGCCGUGAUGAUAAUCAAAAUGUUACCGACUGUCCCUGAUGCAAGUAACAAAAAAACUUGAUUAUUAAUAUCUGUGGUCCUAAAUUUAAAUUCUAAUUAAUUUAUAUUUUGAACUAAAUUUAAUUUUAAAUAAAAUAAAUAAAACGAAUAGGUAUCUAUCUCUCUAAAAAAAAAAAAAAUCAAAAUGUUGACAG
Molecule: long non-coding RNA, 390 nt
Filed under: Ananas comosus (pineapple)
Lineage: Eukaryota; Viridiplantae; Streptophyta; Magnoliopsida; Poales; Bromeliaceae
Description: long non-coding RNA (ACOM_LNC008306)
Source: RNAcentral